RNAcentral lists this non-coding RNA (20 nucleotides) under Arabidopsis thaliana (thale cress). Lineage: Eukaryota; Viridiplantae; Streptophyta; Magnoliopsida; Brassicales; Brassicaceae. The record is from RNAcentral.
GAUGUGAUCAAUAGUUGUGC